Molecule: ribosomal RNA, 440 nt
Filed under: uncultured bacterium
Lineage: Bacteria
Description: partial 16S ribosomal RNA
Rfam family: Bacterial small subunit ribosomal RNA
Source: RNAcentral
CCUACGGGUGGCAGCAGUGGGGAAUAUUGCACAAUGGGGGAAACCCUGAUGCAGCGACGCCGCGUGAGUGAAGAAGUAUUUCGGUACGUAAAGCUCUAUCAGCAGGGAAGAAAAUGACGGUACCUGACUAAGAAGCCCCGGCUAACUACGUGCCAGCAGCCGCGGUAAUACGUAGGGGGCAAGCGUUAUCCGGAUUUACUGGGUGUAAAGGGAGCGUAGACGGCAGUGCAAGUCUGGAGUGAAAUGCGAGGGCUCAACCAUCGGACUGCUUUGGAAACUGUGCGGCUAGAGUGCAGGAGAGGUAAGCGGAAUUCCUAGUGUAGCGGUGAAAUGCGUAGAUAUUAGGAGGAACACCAGUGGCGAAGGCGGCUUACUGGACUGUAACUGACGUUGAGGCUCGAAAGCGUGGGGAGCAAACAGGAUUAGAUACCCGAGUAGUC